GACGAACGCUGGCGGCGUGCUUAACACAUGCAAGUCGAACGGAGCACCCUUGAAUGAGGUUUCGGCCAAAGGAAAGGAAUGCUUAGUGGCGGACUGGUGAGUAACGCGUGAGGAACCUGCCUUUCAGAGGGGGACAACAGCUGGAAACGGCUGCUAAUACCGCAUGACGCAUUCGGAUGGCAUCAUCUGAAUGCCAAAGAUUUAUCGCUGAAAGAUGGCCUCGCGUCUGAUUAGAUAGUUGGCGGGGUAAUGGCCCACCAAGUCGACGAUCAGUAGCCGGACUGAGAGGUUGACCGGCCACAUUGGGACUGAGAUACGGCCCAGACUCCUACGGGAGGCAGCAGUGGGGAAUAUUGCACAAUGGAGGAAACUCUGAUGCAGCGACGCCGCGUGAGUGAAGAAGUAUUUCGGUAUGUAAAGCUCUAUCAGCAGGGAAGAUAAUGACGGUACCUGACUAAGAAGCACCGGCUAAA
RNAcentral lists this ribosomal RNA (473 nucleotides) under uncultured bacterium. RNAcentral's name for it is "bacterial SSU rRNA". It matches the Rfam family "Bacterial small subunit ribosomal RNA", at positions 28 to 501 of the family's 1533-position model. The record is from RNAcentral.